GCAUCCAUAGCUCAGCUGGAGAGAGUACUCGGCUACGAACCGAGCGGUCGGAGGUUCGAAUCCUCCUGGAUGCACCA
This 77-nucleotide transfer RNA is filed under the name Erwinia aphidicola. Its description in RNAcentral is "tRNA-Arg". It matches the Rfam family "tRNA". Rfam says of the family: Transfer RNA (tRNA) molecules are approximately 80 nucleotides in length. Their secondary structure includes four short double-helical elements and three loops (D, anti-codon, and T loops). The record is from RNAcentral. Lineage: Bacteria; Pseudomonadati; Pseudomonadota; Gammaproteobacteria; Enterobacterales; Erwiniaceae.